UGAGCUUAAGUGGCACUGCGGACAAGAAC
RNAcentral lists this non-coding RNA (29 nucleotides) under Homo sapiens (human). Lineage: Eukaryota; Metazoa; Chordata; Mammalia; Primates; Hominidae. The record is from RNAcentral.